This 279-nucleotide long non-coding RNA is filed under the name Mytilus galloprovincialis (Mediterranean mussel). Lineage: Eukaryota; Metazoa; Mollusca; Bivalvia; Mytilida; Mytilidae. The record is from RNAcentral.
CAACUGAAGACCAUUUUUUCCAAAGUUGCAAGGGUUUUUUGUGUUUUCUAUUUACUUUUGUAUUGAACGGGCUUUAUGACAACCUCAUUAUUUUACUUUCACUCAUCGAUAUAAUAAGUUUCUUAAAAGUGCUGAAACUUAAGAAAAAAUACUAAUUAUAGCACUUAUUAAGUUAAGCCGUCUCUAAAAACCAACAGUCGAUUUACCACAACGUGUAGACACUAUGCUAUUAUUAACAACGCAUUUUUCGGUUUAACCAAACUUUACAGUGCAUUUUUG